GCAACUUCUAACAGCCCCCCCCCAUCCCCGGCAUUUGCUCCCUCUUUGGGUCUAAAAUUCUCUGAAUUUGCUGGUCAUCAGAAUAUACGGGAAACCUUCCUUGUGAGUAAACCUAACCAAUAAGGAAUUUGCUAGAGGGGGCAAUAAUUUUUUAUUUAUUCCAAGAUGAGGCAACAGCUUGGAAAGCAUUCAGUAGAACGUUCGGAUGUCACUCCCCAGAACACUGGUGUGCUGGCCUGCAGAUGUGAGCAAGCUUUAAAAAGGAGAGUGACUCAUGAAACAUCGCUUCGAGGGAGAAGACCCACAUACGACCAGUACGAGCACUUUAAACUAAGCAUCUAAGACAGCAGAAGAAAAAAUCAGAAGGAAACAAUGGAGAAGUAUAAAGAGAGACCACACACCUAACUCCUUCGACAGCUCUGGUACCAUCCCAGAGGUCACUGGAUGUGAUUUUACUUCUGCAAUAUCCCACGUUCCUGCAUUCUAAAGAAGGAAACCAACAGUAACCCAAAGUGUGAUGUCAUGUUGAGAGCUGGCAACUGCAGUUUCAGCCUGACACUCCCAAUCCUUUUACAGCCUUUCCAUGUUCUCAUCAUCCCAAGCCUGCAGCUACUUUUAUUGCUGGAGAAGAAUCAAGCAAAGGAGAAAUGAUCUCCUAGGGACAGAAUCCAGCCAAGUUGCUAUUUGCACCUUCUCAGCCCUUCCAAUUGCAUAUCAUACCAGCACAGCAUUUCUCUGGACUUAAUUCCUCACUCAUCUGGACUGAUUUGCCUUUCGUGAGCAACAGAAUGUUGUCAUACAUCAGGAUGCUGUCAUACAUCAGGUUGGAGUUUGGCCUUCUGAAGGCAGGAGAGUGAAAAAUGGUACUAAUGUCCUUCCCACACCAACCCUGUAUUCUGCAAAGGAAAGGACUCCAGCAAAGAAAGCAACUAACGUAACGGCAACCUAAGACCACGUUCUGAAUCAUCAGAGUCCUGGACUACUGCUACUGAAGCAAACCUUCGACAGGAUGAAAACCGAGUAGGAAGGCUCCGUGUCCCUCAGCAUCCUGUGGAAGAUGCAGCUUUCAGCCCACAUCAGCCACUCUGAUCAGGGUGUGUAUGAUCACCAUACUCCUUGCUGGCCACCAUUUGCUCUGGGAAAAUAUGUAUAGAAGCAUAGAGUGGAUCCUGGGAUAAGCAAACAGGAGCCAGCCAGCAGCAAUUACCAAACCCCAGCACCUUCCAGGAUAGUUACUAAAUCAUUCUCAUCCAAGACAGCUAUGUGAAAAUAAUUGUGCCCUGGUGUUCCAUUGCAAUGAAGAGUACCACCUAAUCUGAGAAGGUAGGAGAAAAGAUCUGCCUGCACAUCUCUAGAGCUGAAGGCUUCAGUUCUGGUGCUGUUAAGCCACUCCUAUAAGAUGUAAAAAGUCUCUCCAGUUCACGACAUUUCUGCAAAGUGGGAAUCAUAGAAUCAUAGAAUGGCCUGGGUUGAAAUGGACUUCAAUAAUCAUUGAGUUUCAACCCCCCUGCUAUGUGUAGGGUCACCAACCCCCAGACCAGGCUGCCCAGAGCCACAUCCAGCCUGGAAGCUUUCUCUUGGGAUGUAUCAGGCGAUACGUAUUUUUAUAUGUCACCUAAAGAAGAUGACUGCACUACAUCUUUGCAAAAGCUCUUCUUUUGGACUGACCUAUUUGAAGAAUAACUCAAAAAAACCUCUGAAGAGACACAAUCCCCCAAGUCCAAUGGCCAUCCAGUUCUAUUGGAUGUCUUCUGGCAAACUGCGUUAACAAUUUCCUCAGACUCCUUACUGGGGAAAAACCUGUGUUGAAAAGGUUUAAAGCCUGAAGCAUCAUUUCUAGAGGUUUUUUGUGUGUGUCAAUACGGAGUAUGUCACUUGGUAUGCAUGAUGACUAAUGAGAUCACAUUCAAAAUGUGCUUGUAUGACUGUGUUAAGACCAAUGCUCACAUUUGAACAAAUGUUGCUCAACAUACUUACUUCACAUGAGCUAUGAAAGAAGUCCAGACUCGCCUUGAAGUGCACCGCUUGCUCCGAGGCUUGCAGUCAUUCCAUUGCAAACACUAUAUGCAAAGUUAAUGGGUAGAGCAAUGAAAUAAAUCUCCCUGCCACCAGCACUGAUACUGGGAGAGACUGACACAGCCCUGUACCUUUGUAUGCUGGUGACUGGGCCUUGGGAAGGUAUGGGGGUGACUGGGAGAGCUGGGGGGCACAGGCUGGGAAGGAGCCCUGCAUAGAGCAGAGCUGCAGCCUCCAACAAAGGCACCCUGGGCUGGUGUUGGCCCCAUUGACUCUGGGACGUCAGGAAAUCAGCCCUGUAUUGGAGGGACCCACAGCUCUGUAUGCAGAGCAGAGCUGCCCUGCAGAGGCAGUCUCACAGCCCACCCACAGGGCAGCCGCUGGGAAUCACUGGCAGACACGCAUUCCCAAACUGAAAAAAUAAUUAACCACCUAGUUUCUUUUAAUUAAGACCUUGACUUAUCCACCACUCCAGGAUAUGCGGAUGUUUGGCUGCUGGGAUGCAUCAACACACCUGAGCACUGGAGGCAAUUCCUCUUUGGCUUCAUACCUCAGCACACAGCAGAGCAGGGCUCCCACCCUGCUAUACCUGUGCUCCUCAGUUUAUGCCAUUGGCCACGUCUCUCACUAUUUUGUUACUCAUAAUCUCACAGAUGUUGUCUUGGUAGGAAUUUUCAGAUGCAAAUGUCGGUAUCUUAAAAGUGUUCUGCACUUCUGGCAUUCUCGCAUCAGCCGAGUGCCAAAGUAGCACACAGUGUUUUACACUUACGUAAGGAGAUAAAGCUUUUGCCUCGAGGAUAUGGUGUUCCUAAGACAGAGAUAACAUGCUGGGAAAUGACAAGGAGCUGUGGAGAAGAGGGGUGGGGAGAAGAAAACAAAAGAGAGAAAUAGAGAAGAGAAAAGGCAAGGUACUGUCGCGGGAGGACAAACUGGAUUUUUCAUUUCUGUGUGAGAUGUUUUCCCCAGGUUAUCUGCCUUAACUUAUUUUUCUUGAUCAUCCUCCACCUCCUUAGCAGCAUAUUUUGCCUCCUCUGCACUCACACCACAACUGGUGGGUCUCACAUGAGUGAGGUGCGACCUCUGAAGUCUGGCCCUUAAAGUGUAGGACUCAGCUCAGUGCAGCAGAAGAUGAGGUUAGUGGUAGAAACUGCCUCCUCCUCUUCUGAUUUGGUUUCUGUUAUUCAGACCUGCAAGGUACAGCAUCUCUGAGCAGGAAAUAGCUAUUUGAGUCAUUGUCUUCUGCUUGAACUAACAGCCCAGCAUCUGUCCUGUGGGUGUCCAUCCCUUCUUCCCCCCACUGCUCCCAGUGGCUCUGCAAAAUGUUGGUUCAUUCUAAAGUCAAAUUAUGUAGUAUCAAUGAUUAUAAAACUAUGAUUGUAAAACAAUGAUUAUAAAACUAUUCGUAAAUUAUUACUGAAAUUCCUCUCCAUCCCUUAACACAGACAGGUCCAUCCAUCUGGGACUGUUUAUUCUGGAGGAGGCUCCCGUAGCUCUCUACAACUCCCUGAAAGGAGGCUAUAGACAAGUGACGGUAGGCCUCUUCUCCCACGUAACAGUUACAGGAUGAGAGGUGAUGGCUUUAAGUGGCACCAGAGGAAGUUCAGGUUGGAUAUUAGGAAACACUUCUUCUCAGAAAAACUGGUGAGGCACUGGCAUGGGCUGCCCAGGGAGGUGGUGGGGUCACCAUCCCUGAAGGUCUUCAAGAACUGUGACACUGAGGGAUGUGGUUAGUGGGCAUGGUGGGGAUGGGUUGGGUUGGACUAGAUGUAAUCUUUCCAACCUUGAAAACCUUGAAAACUAGUGUUAUGAUGGGAAGCCUGGCACAUCUGAAGUCAUGAAGAACGUGUGCCCCAGGCGCACACCCACUGCACACAGCAAUCACUCAGUGGUGUCCCAUUAACACUGUCUGGGCUGCAACCAGGGCACGGGGAUGGUUAAGUGCAGUAAUGGCAAAUAAGUGUUUGUAUUUUGAUAUAUUGGCUGAACAAAGUCCUGUGAAUAGCAAAAAAUACACAGACUCUUGUAACCAGUUGUCACCAUUGCAAACCUGUGCAAGAAAGUGGUGGGGAAGUUUCAUCAGUGAUCCUUCCAUUGAAUUAUCAGUGCUUCAAGGAAGAAAGACUAAAUAUUUUCAUACUCUGGGCCUAAUUCGUUUUGGUCUUGGACAGGCUUAGUUUUUAGAAGCAUAAUAAGAAUGCAUAACGUUGGGAAUUAGAAACAAAACACGGGCAGAUUACCAAGAAGAUGAUGUGCUAGGAAGCUGUAUGGGGAGCAUAAGUUUUCAAGAGGGAAGGAGAAAUACUGAAUACACAGUAAAGAGCCAUGAGGGUAUGUAUUGUGCUACUUGGAGCACUACUGUUGGGACUGGAAGGUCCCAUUUAAACAUGGAUCCCAGAGAUAAUCCAUCCUUUGUUUGCGUCUCACCCUGCUGAUCUCAAGAAUGUUGUUCAGUACUGACUAAUCUUGUGGACUGAAGCUUCCAAAAUGUCCAUGUUUCUGUUCUGUCCUGGUACUGAUUUCUUAGAAGAAUGUCACGGAAUCAUAGGAGUUGGAAGGGACCUCUGGAGAUCAUUGAGUCCAACCUCCUUGCUAAGGUAGUUUCCCUAUAGUAGGUCCAGGCAGGUCUUGAAUAUCUCCAGAGAAGGAGACUCUACAACCUGUCUGGGUGACCUGUUCCAGUGCUCUGUCACCCUCAAAGAAGUUUUUUCUCAUGUUCAGAUGGAAUUUCCUGUGUUGUAUUUUUUGCCUGUUUCCCCUUGUCUUGUCAAUGGGCACCACCAAAAAGAGCCUGGCCGCAUCCUGUUGACACCCAUCCUUUAGAUAUUUACAAUUUUUGAUAAAGCUCCCCUAAGUUUUCUCUUCUCCAGGCUGAACAGUCCCAGAUCUCUUGGCCUUUCCUCACGAGGGAGAUGCUCCAGGCCCUAAAUCAUCUUUGUGGCCCUCUGCUGGACUCUCUCUAGAAGUUCCCUGUCUUUUUGGAACAGAGGAGCUCGGUACUGGACACAGCACUCCAGAUAGGGUCUCACCAGAGCAGAGUAGAGGGGGAGGAUCACCUCCCUUGACCUGCUGGGCACACAUUUUUUAAUGCACUCCGGGAUCUGUCUUGAUCUCUAUAUUCCUAAAAUGAUGCUGCAUCUCUCCAAAUCUGAACCUGGAGAGCAUAAAAUCUAUUUUUUCCCCCAUAAAAUAGAGGCAAUUGCUUUAUUGUGGGUGGCCUGUGAUGGCAUUCAUCUUCAAAGAUAAAAGAUCACCAUAAUACAUCUUCUAAUAUUAAUACAGGCUUAUUUGGCAACAUACCACUUAGAGCAUUGGUCUAGGAAAAUAGCACAGAUUAUCAUGAAGCCAUGUUAUAAGGAUAGCCUGAAAUUUUAUUGCAAGCCUGAGAGGAUAAUUUCCUAUUUAGGCUUGAUGUAUAAUAAUGGCAAAAAUCUGAUGUGAAGUUGUUCUCCACUUGGGAUGACAAAGGCAGGGCAACAGUCAGGAAGUGGAACAACCUAUUUGCUGCAAAUCCAUUUACACUUCCCAUACGCUGACAAAAUAGGUGUAGUCCUCUGUGCCUGGUGGCUCACGCUUGUACCUGCCUGGUUUCGCAUGGGGAGUUGGCUGUUUGAGGUGUUAAAAUGGUGAAGGUAGGCCUUGGGAGUUUUAGCUGAUGAAAGAAGUUUGAUUUUGACCUAGGGAUAAGGAAAAAAGAACCAAAAAUUCUGUUUUGAGCACAAGUUUUCAUCCUAAAAGCACAGUAGAAUUUUCCAGCUGAAAUUAAACUAUAUGCUAUUGUUUAAAUGUUUAAUUUUUUAUUGAAUUGUGAAAAUAAUGAACUUCUCUGAAACAAAAUAGAGAUGAAAAUAAGGCGGGAUUAAAUUAUUUUAAUAACAUCUCACAGAAAUUAUAAGAUCCUGAUGUAAUGUGUUUGCAAUAGUCUUAAGGAUUCACCCACUGCAGCUAAGGAGAAUGCCCUAACCUUGAUGCUGAACAUCUGCAGCUUUGCUCGUGUUUAAUCAAGAGCACCAGAUGAGACAGAGAAAUGAGUGAUUUCAAACAAGUCGGAGAUGCUCAGAGGAAGCUUUUAAACUGACUCAGCAGAAACACCUUCUGAGGGGCAGCAAGAAGACCUUUGUGGUAUUUAAUACAUUUUUAUCAGCUUCCCUGAGCUGACAGUUUAGAAAGCUACAGCUGUGAGGAGACAGGCCAGCUUUAUUUGUAACAGCUGUUCUGAAAGCCUUGAAUACGGGGAGAGAAGGAGCCUUCCCCUCACUGUUAGAAACACGCAGCGGUGACUUGGUUGUUCAGAACAGACUGUUCUCAUAAAGCUGUCCUCCUCAUCCUCCCUGCUCUGAAGCUGGGGGAAUGUUGAGUCACUGCCCAAUGGGUUUUGCACUGGUCCAAGGCGACCCAGAGCGGCUCUCCUUUACACAGCCUGUUCCAGAGCUCUGUGCCAGUUGUUUCUGAGGGAUGUUGAGAUGUGGCUGAGAUGGAAGCUCAGGUCUGUGUUAUAGGCAUUUGCAGGUGAUGUGCUGCAGAGUGAGGGUGUGUCCCUGAGCUGCAACUCCACCCUCUUUGUCUGCUGCAUUGAAGCUCAUUUUCAGGUGGAGGUGAUCUUCCAGCCUUAUUUGCAGGUUCAAAGAGGCACCAAACUGCAGGGUUUAUCAAUAGGCAAGAGGUGAAUUCAUAACAUUUUUGUGUUUUCCAGCACAUUCACACAGUGUUCCCAUUUUCUCCCAUCUGAAGCCAUGGUGUACUAGAGGCUUCUCAUGGAUGCCUGUGAAGCUGAGGACCUGCUAAGCUUGCAUAGCUUAUUGGUGGUGUAGCUCAGUCUGUGAGGUUAAACCCCAGGCCAGGGUUGAAGAGUGAGCUGCAGCCCAUGACCAAGCUGGAAGCCAUACGCCAUCAUGAAGAAAACAAUGGACACAACUCCUUCUUCACAGCAAUUUUUACCUCUCAUAUACCCACGGGUUUUAUGUUGGGGUUACUGCUUUCUGUGCUUGGUGGGGCGGCAGGGACUGCUCCAGUGGGAAGGCUACCAGAGCUGGGGCAUAGCACUGACUGCGGGGAGUUAGGCCAAACACUUAUGGGGAUGGGGCCCGUAGGCCCAUGGGCUACAAAGACAAAUUUUCUGGGCAACUGUGAGUCUCAGUGUUACCAUCUGCAACUCUCAGUAUCUAAAUCCUCAUAUUAGCCAUUAACACUAUUCUGUGUCCAAGUACAAGACAUUUAUUCUCCUAACACUGUCAGUAGCUAAAUAUGUUAGCGGUGUGAGGCACUCCCAUGUCAUUACAGUAGGAACCAAGGGUAGAAUUAGAAAGCUUCAGAUCAGUUGUGUCUCUCGAAAUAUGACUUUGGCUUCAUGAAGGGCUCACCCGUAUGCCAACCACCUGACUCCCCAAACUAGCUGCACCGCUUCUGCUCUGACUGCUGGGAAGAUGUCCCUUUUGUCAAAAUGUUAAGACUGAGGAGCUCUGCUUGUGAGGAAGCUGGAGGCCCAAAUGCUCAGUGGUUUCCAGUUUUCGCAGUGAAGUGGGGGAUGAAGUUGCGUUCAUGUUGUCAGAUAGGAGAGAUUUGUGCCCGAGUGUAAUGUAGUUUCAGCAACAAAUAUUUCUACUGUUCAGUCUAAUUCUUCUGUAGCUCUGUAGUCUCAGCAGCUUAUAAAGAAUGGGAACUGAAGUGUAGUGUUAGUCAGUGCUGGGACUUCAUUCCUUGUUCUCGAUCCUCUCAUUCUCACACACAAGCAGCCCCUUUAAGACACCGAUCUACAAAUGACGUGAGUCUGCAACAAGCUCCAAGAGCAGCAGCCGGGACUGUAUUUCAAUCACCAGCAUCUCAUUUUUAGGCUUAUUUAUCACACUUCUGAUCAAAGCACCACUGCCAAGUUAGCACUUAGGGGAGGGCACUUGGAUGUGGUGGUGGUGGCACCACCUAAGCUCCAACUCACAUUACACUCAUUCGAGCACGGUGUUUAUCCCAAGAGCUAUUUCCUAUUUUAUUUUUUAGUUUAUUUUUGAGAAAACUGAUGGCGUUUUAAACUUUGUUAGUGCUUUUCUUUUUUAGCUAUUGAGAGUUGAUAGGACAAGGGGGAAUGGUUUUAAACUGAGACAUGGAAGAUUUAGGUUAGAUAUUAGGAGGAAGUUUUUCACACAGAGGUUGGUGACACACUGAAACAGGUUGCCCAAGGAGGUUGUGGAUGCCCCAUCCCUGGAGGCAUUCAAGGCCAGGCUGGAUGUGGCUCUGGGCAGCCUGGUCUGGUUGUUGGCGACCCUGCACAGAGCAGGGGGUUGAAAAUGGAUGAUCAUUGUGGUCGUUUUAAACCCAGGCCAUUCUGUGAUUCUAUGAUUCUAUGAUGAUAUGAAUUCCUCUGCAAUGAGCAGGGACACCUACAGCUCCAUCAGUGCUCAGAGCCCCAUUCAGCCUGACCCUAAAUGUCUCCAGGGAUGAGGCAUCCACCACAUCUCUGGGCAACCUUUGUCAUUUUGCAUUUGAUAAAAUCACUUCUUAGCAAAGGGACAAAAGGAGGCCCUUAAAUGUCUCCCACAAAGUGGAACCCUUCAAAGUGGUCCUAAAUGGUCCUAGGAAGGCUCAAGCCUCUGAUGGAAAUGGCAGGAAACAUCACCCUACAUCUGUCUCUGCCAUGAGAACAAAUUGCAGCCACUGCCCAGCCAAAUUGUCAGAGCUAGUUGUUGCACAUAGCGCAGACCCAGGGAAAUUUGCAGUUCCAACAGCAGAUGGCACAAUCCUAACAGUUAAAUCAGCCUGUAGUGCAGCCGUGGGGAAAUACUUCCCAGGAUACAAAUCUGAAAGCUCCUGGAAAAGUCCUACAGAGUGAGUCUGCUGGUUUGUCAACGUAAGCGGUCUGUUUUUGGAAAUAGUGCAUUUCCUCUUCAGGGGAAAUUAUUUAUAAAAGAAAAGGCAUUUCUGAGACCGCUUGGUAGCAGUGGAGUUUAUUUCAAGACUCUCAGGGCUCAUCAAAGCUGUGAGUGUGUCAACAUCACUCCACCUACUUGGAGGUGCUCUGGAAUAACUGAUUCACAGGCAUUUUGCUUGCUUGGCACUCAGCCUUGUGCAGCCAGUGCUGUCUUGAGCCUUUUCAAGUAAUUCAGGCAAAAAAUGGAGUUUGCUGACAAAAGGGGGUUUGCCUAGAGCAUCUCUACUAGGAAGACAUCCAAUCUUGAUCUGAAAACAUCAAGAGACAGAGAAUCCAACGCUUCUUUUGAGAUUUUAUGCUCAUUAAAAUCUGAGAACUAUGGCAAGGAUUUCAGCUUGAUAGGCAGAAAGUAUCUCAUUCGUCCCAAAGGAGUGGGGGGGGGACACCCCGCAGCUCUCAGGAAGAGGGACGGCUUACCUGGACGUGGGCUCUUGGUGAGGGCUCAGCACAACGUGAGGAUGCCCGUGGGAACCUGUACCUCUGCAGUAUGCAUUUUGCCGUGGUUUAUUUGUGCUGUCCCCGUAACACACCCAUUGCUGUGGGAUGUGGAUGCCUUUCGGUGAUGUACUAAACUAAUAAACUACCUGUCAUGCGUGUUUCUGACUCAGUUUUGCAGUCGAAAAGGAAAAGUCAUCCCUCCCUGAUGGCACAUUGCCGUGUGGCCACUCUACACUCACUAUAAGUUUAAAACAAC
Molecule: long non-coding RNA, 9626 nt
Organism: Gallus gallus (chicken)
Lineage: Eukaryota; Metazoa; Chordata; Aves; Galliformes; Phasianidae
Source: Ensembl